RNAcentral lists this transfer RNA (76 nucleotides) under Scale drop disease virus. RNAcentral's name for it is "tRNA-Ile". It matches the Rfam family "tRNA". Rfam says of the family: Transfer RNA (tRNA) molecules are approximately 80 nucleotides in length. Their secondary structure includes four short double-helical elements and three loops (D, anti-codon, and T loops). Lineage: Varidnaviria; Bamfordvirae; Nucleocytoviricota; Megaviricetes; Pimascovirales; Iridoviridae. The record is from RNAcentral.
UGCUCUAGUGGCGCAGUUAGGUAGCGCGCAGUGCUUAUAACACUUAGGUCGUGAGUUCGAUCCUCACCUAGAGCAU